Rhinolophus ferrumequinum (greater horseshoe bat) is the source of this 384-nucleotide long non-coding RNA. RefSeq lists it as uncharacterized. The transcript has 3 exons. The record is from RefSeq and is a predicted model, not a curated record. Lineage: Eukaryota; Metazoa; Chordata; Mammalia; Chiroptera; Rhinolophidae.
UCCAGCCCCUGAGCGCCGUGGGCAACAAAGUCGGCGAGCUCGUAGAGUCCACCAAGGGCGUGCUGGAGAGUGUGGUGCCAGCUGGCACCACGGAUGGGCUCUUAGGCGGGCUGGGAAAUAUUGAUCUGAACGAUCUCCUGAUAGGAUUAGAGGUUCAAAAAGCAACUGUGCAGAACAUGAAGUUGACCAUGACCGGUGAUGGGAUCCUCAUCCAAGCCACGACUACCGCCUUCGUAGCUGGAAAAGGCCUGCUAGGAGCUGUACUCAGCAUACUGGGAUUUCAAGUGAAUUCGGAUGUGACUCUGAAAAUUGGAAUUUCCACAAACAACGCCCAAUGCGUCAACCUCCAAGUCCAGGACAAGGACAUCAGGGUCAAGGAAGUGA